CUCUAUUUUCUUCCCUUUGUUUUUUCCUCCCAUAUUCUUAUCUCCCUUUCUUUGUUCUUCCUUUUUCCCUCAAGAAAUAUUCUUCUUAAAAUUCUAUUCACACAUUAAAAAAAAAGUGGUUUUUUAGUUUACUACCAACUUUUUUUUUUGGUUAAAAAGUUAGAUCUAAACCCUAAAAACUUCAAGAGGGUUUUGUGUUCUUAUAAUACUUUCACUUGCAAGGCUUCAAAAAUUGUAACAAAACCAUAGCUUAGCAAGAAGGAUAUUAUUAUAAACACUUACAAGUGAAAAAUGUUUGAGCCAAACAUAUUUGAUAAGAGCAACCAUCAUCUAUUCGACGACAUAUCCAAAAUUUAGACGUUGUGAGUUCUGAUAUGCUACUUUAAGUUACACGUAUCAUAAAACUCGAAAAAAGGAACUCAAGUUACAAACUCAUAGCUUAUCAAGAAAAGGAUAUAUAUAUAUAUAUAUGUAUAUUUUUUAUAUUUAGAAGUGAAAAAUGUUUCAGCCAAAUAUGUUUGAGAGCCACCAUCAUUUACUUGAUAUGUCACAUAAAUCACCAGAAAAUGAUUUGGAUUUACUUAGAGAUAAUGAUGAAUUUGAGAGCAAAUCAAUGGCAGAUAUUAUGGAAAAUAACCCUUGUGAUGAUGAUCAAGAAGUUGAUCCUAAUCAACGUCCAAACAAAAAGAAACGUUAUCAUCGUCAUACACAAUUACAAAUUCAAGAAAUGGAAUCGUUUUUUAAAGAGUGCCCUCAUCCAGAUGAUAAACAAA
Molecule: non-coding RNA, 773 nt
Organism: Solanum lycopersicum (tomato)
Lineage: Eukaryota; Viridiplantae; Streptophyta; Magnoliopsida; Solanales; Solanaceae
Source: RefSeq, a predicted model, not a curated record